This is a long non-coding RNA of Phymastichus coffea, 703 nucleotides long. RefSeq lists it as uncharacterized. The record is from RefSeq and is a predicted model, not a curated record. The transcript has 3 exons. Lineage: Eukaryota; Metazoa; Arthropoda; Insecta; Hymenoptera; Eulophidae.
UCUAUAUACUGGAUACGUUAUGUGUUGGUUUGUUUUUCUAUCAGAUAAUUUAAUGAUACCGUUUGUUUUGUAAUUAGACUUGUUUGAUGGAAUAUUUUUUAAUAAUCGGCAAAACUAGGUCUGCCUGAUCUUAUUAAAGAAAAUGAGCCAAGUGUAGAAGUGAAAAUGUCUUCUUUUAAAUCGCCAUAUAUGAUGUAAUAAUUUGAAAAUACAAGAUUCAGCAGGCUGAAUAUUUAUUUUUGUUUAGUCUUCUAUAAAGACGAUAACCAGGUGGAAUAAGAACAAGCAAUGCGCAUUAAUAUGGAGGUUUCUAAAAUCGAAAACAUUAAUAAACUGUAAAUUAUCGAUAAUCUAUUGAAGCUAUAUGGACAACGGCUUCGAGAUAAUGCAAGAAUAGCUUACUACCUGGAGAAACACUGAACGGGUGGGGUAUCAAAUAUGCACUUUGAUAAAAAAUAGUUUUUUAUUUAACCACUAUGGGCACGAGUAGACAGAGGACAACUCGACGUGCUGUCUGCCCAGUGAUGUGUCAGUAUUCGCAAUGUGGUUCUAGGUUAACAUGCCUCCAACGUCGAGUAAGGAGACUCCAUUGCAGAGGUCCGGGACCCACGCAAAUUUAGCGACAAGUCCAGCAUCAUCUCGACCUACUGUUUGCCGUCACAAAGGAAGCAUGCCUUUUGCUUGCUUCUUAUUCUACCACGAA